Molecule: non-coding RNA, 381 nt
Organism: Pelobates cultripes (western spadefoot toad)
Lineage: Eukaryota; Metazoa; Chordata; Amphibia; Anura; Pelobatidae
Source: the annotation of a GenBank genome assembly
GGACUGUUAUGGAUAUAAACUAACACUUAGGUAAAAUGUCUAUUUGCUACAUAGUAAGUAUUUACUCAAAAUGGCUGCUAGAGCACCCCCUCCCAUCGACCAAACACCUCGUGUGACAAGAUGGCGUCUCCAUCCGGAGUAAAAUCCCAAGAUGAUGGUGACAUCACACUUUGGAGGAAGUGCAUUAGAUAAGACACUUAACACUUGACCAAUUAAAGAUGUACUUUCCUUGUUAUCUCAUGUUUUGCAUAUGAUGUAUUUUGUAAAAACAAGAUAAAGAGUCAGCGCUAAGUAAUGGGUAGGCAGCAACCCCUCAAAGUCCCUUAAAAAACAACAGAAAAUACAAAAAAGAGGCUGCGUCACACAGAAUAAAUAUAGUAG